UACGUAGGGGGCAAGCGUUGUCCGGAAUCAUUGGGCGUAAAGCGCGUGUCGGCGGUCCGGUAAGUCCGCUGUGAAAGUCGGGGGCUUAACCCUCGGAUGCCGGUGGAUACUGCCGGGCUUGAGUACGGAAGAGGCGAGUGGAAUUCCUGGUGUAGCGGUGAAAUGCGCAGAUAUCAGGAGGAACACCAAUUGCGAAGGCAGCUCGCUGGGACGUUACUGACGCUGAGACGCGAAAGCGUGGGGAGCAAACAGG
This 253-nucleotide ribosomal RNA is filed under the name uncultured bacterium. Its description in RNAcentral is "partial 16S ribosomal RNA". It matches the Rfam family "Bacterial small subunit ribosomal RNA", at positions 524 to 776 of the family's 1533-position model. The record is from RNAcentral.